Molecule: ribosomal RNA, 584 nt
Filed under: Trigonopterus sp. 90 AR-2020
Lineage: Eukaryota; Metazoa; Arthropoda; Insecta; Coleoptera; Curculionidae
Description: SSU rRNA
Rfam family: Eukaryotic small subunit ribosomal RNA
Source: RNAcentral
GUCAUAUGCUUGUCUCAAAGAUUAAGCCAUGCAUGUCUCAGUACAAGCCAAAUUAAGGUGAAACCGCGAAAGGCUCAUUAAAUCAGUUAUGGUUCCUUAGAUCGUACCCACAAUUACUUGGAUAACUGUGGUAAUUCUAGAGCUAAUACAUGCAAACAGAGCUCCGACCGGAGACGGAAGGAGUGCUUUUAUUAGAUCAAAACCAAUCGGUGGCGGGCGUUCGCGCGCUCGUUAUCGUACAACUUGGUGACUCUGAAUAACUUUACGCUGAUCGCACGGUCAUCGCACCGGCGACGCAUCUUUCAAAUGUCUGCCUUAUCAACUGUCGAUGGUAGGUUCUGCGCCUACCAUGGUUGUAACGGGUAACGGGGAAUCAGGGUUCGAUUCCGGAGAGGGAGCCUGAGAAACGGCUACCACAUCCAAGGAAGGCAGCAGGCGCGCAAAUUACCCACUCCCGGCACGGGGAGGUAGUGACGAAAAAUAACGAUACGGGACUCAUCCGAGGCCCCGUAAUCGGAAUGAGUACACUCUAAACCCUUUAACGAGGAUCAAUUGGAGGGCAAGUCUGGUGCCAGCAGCCGCGG